RNAcentral lists this ribosomal RNA (676 nucleotides) under uncultured bacterium. RNAcentral's name for it is "bacterial SSU rRNA". It matches the Rfam family "Bacterial small subunit ribosomal RNA", at positions 63 to 774 of the family's 1533-position model. The record is from RNAcentral.
CGAACGGAGAAUUGCUAGCUUGCUAAUAAUUCUCUAGUGGCGCACGGGUGAGUAACACGUGAGUACCUGCCCCCAAGAGUGGGAUAGCCCCGGGAAACUGGGAUUAAUACCGCAUAAAGCAAUAAAGCAGCAAUGCGCUUGGGGAUGGGCUCGCGUCCUAUUAGUUAGUUGGUGAGGUAACGGCUCACCAAGGCGAUGACGGGUAGCCGGUCUGAGAGGAUGUCCGGCCACACUGGAACUGAGACACGGUCCAGACACCUACGGGUGGCAGCAGUCGAGAAUCAUUCACAAUGGGGGAAACCCUGAUGGUGCGACGCCGCGUGGGGGAUAAGGUCUUCGGAUUGUAAACCCCUGUCAUGUGGGACAUUAAAAGAUAGUACCACAAGAGGAAGAGACGGCUAACUCCGUGCCAGCAGCCGCGGUAAUACAGAGGUCUCAAGCGUUGUUCGGAAUCACUGGGCGUAAAGCGUGCGUAGGCGGUUUCGUAAGUCGUGUGUGAAAGGCGGGGGCUCAACCCCCGGACUGCACAUGAUACUGCGAGACUAGAGUAAUGGAGGGGGAACCGGAAUUCUCGGUGUAGCAGUGAAAUGCGUAGAUAUCGAGAGGAACACUCGUGGCGAAGGCGGGUUCCUGGACAUUAACUGACGCUGAGGCACGAAGGCCAGGGGAGCGAAAG